CCAGGCAGGGAAGCCCCCCAUCCAGGACCUCUUCACAGACCUGUGUGAUGGCCGUCGCCUGCUGGAGCUGCUGGAGGGACUGGCAGGGCACGAGCUGGUGAAAGAGAGAGGAGUCACGCGCCUCCACUCACUAAACAAUGUUAAUAGAGCUCUGCAGAUCCUACAGAAGAACAAUGUUGAACUGGUGAAUAUAGGAGGAGCCGACAUUGUUGAUGGGAAUCAUAAACUGAUUCUUGGACUCAUUUGGAGCAUAAUUCUCCACUGGCAGGUCAGUUAGUCACCCUGUGUGUUGACC
This is a long non-coding RNA of Salvelinus fontinalis (brook trout), 295 nucleotides long. RefSeq lists it as uncharacterized. The record is from RefSeq and is a predicted model, not a curated record. Lineage: Eukaryota; Metazoa; Chordata; Actinopteri; Salmoniformes; Salmonidae. The transcript has 3 exons.